Molecule: long non-coding RNA, 732 nt
Organism: Salmo salar (Atlantic salmon)
Lineage: Eukaryota; Metazoa; Chordata; Actinopteri; Salmoniformes; Salmonidae
Source: RefSeq, a predicted model, not a curated record
GCACAGCUCAGUAAAGCCUGCAGAACGUGACGUCCGUUUUCCUUUGUUUGUUGUUUUGAUUUAGUGUUCUGAGUUAUAAUAAAUUAUUAAUCAUGAGCACUUACCACGCUGCACCUUGGUCGAUCCUUACGACAAUCGUCACAAUAUUUUUUAUUUUUUUUAAGCGUGUAGGCCCUUGGGUCUUUUUUGUAAUUAUCUGCUAAUUUUAGUUGAAGGCCAGUGGCCUUCAGAGGAUUUUCAGAAGAUUUAUUUCAUGAGAAUAUUUGAUAAUUUUGUAUUUCAUCUUUAUUUAACCAGGAGGUGCCAUUGAGGUUAGAAGACCUCUUUCUCAAGGGAGACCUUGCCAAGAAGGGCAGAUCAGUGAAAACACAUAGAACAUUCUAAUCAAAGUGCAUAGUCUGCAUAGCAAGUAGUUAUUGUUCUUAUGUGAUACCUGCUCUGAUGUGUCUUGUUCUAGAACCCAGAGAAGAACAUGGAAUGGGAGUUCUAUUUCAAAAACCUCUCUCGGUCUCUUACGUCUCUUUUGGUUCUUCUCACAACUGCUAACAACCCUGACGGAACAUACAUCCUGAUGAACCUGCUGACUGCCAUCAUAUACAACCAGUUUAGAGGAUACUUAGUGGACCUGAGCCCUAGGACCAUGCCUCAGGACUACCUGGCCUGAUGACUCCUUGCUGUCCCUUGUCCACCUGGCCGUGCUGCUGCUUCUGUAUCAACUGUUCUGCCUGCGGC